AUGAACAAAAGAUUUUCUUCCACUCCCAUAUUUGAAAGGCUCGAUCGAUGUCUGGCCAAUGCUGAAUGGUGUGCGCUUUUUCCCAAUACAAAUGUCUUCAAUUCGCCUAUCAUGCUUAGCGAUCAUGCUCCUAUCCUUGUUUCCACUCAAUCUAAUUUUCACAAACCUAGACUUACUUUUAAAUUUGAGAAUUGGUGGACUUUUGAAGAUGACUUCCAAACUGUAGCUAAAAAUGCAUGGGAAACUAGUGCGAACAAAUCCUUCUAUGCCAGAUCAACUAACCUUGCAGGUACUUUAAAAAAAUGGUGCAAGAAGAAGAAGCCGAUCCAACAACAACUAGAUUGCUUGCAAAGUCAGGUCAACCAAAUACAAAUGCAACCACUGCAGCAACAUGAUCACGAUCUGGAAGCAAAACUGGUAGGCCAGUAUGAGGUAAAUCUUACAAAACUCACUGAGUAUUAUCAACAACGUGCAAAAAAAAUUGGGCUAUUUUCGGUGAUAGGAAUACCGCUUUCUUCCACAAUGCAGUUCAGAAACGUAAGCGCAGAAACAUAA
RNAcentral lists this ribosomal RNA (555 nucleotides) under Triticum aestivum (bread wheat). RNAcentral's name for it is "partial small subunit ribosomal RNA". The record is from RNAcentral. Lineage: Eukaryota; Viridiplantae; Streptophyta; Magnoliopsida; Poales; Poaceae.